GUUUAUGUUACUUAGGCUACAGAAAUGCACCAACAUUUAAUCACUUGUUCCUUUUGUCAUUUCCAACAACUGUACAAAAUUUCAUCCAAACCGUGCACAAGUUUUCGAGUUAUCCUGCUGACAGACAAACCAACGCGACUGAAAACAUUGCCUCCUUGGCGGAGCUCUUCUGAAAGAAGUUCUGAUAAAUCAACAAAUUCUAAUGGAUCAGCAAAAGAACAUAAUCAGAAUGAUCCAAGAUUUGCAAAGAUCCAACAGUGGUGUCACAGGGAUUCCCAUCACUUCAUCCCACAUGACCAUCUUCCCUCUGAGUGAUAAGCCUGCCCUGUAUAAACUUGAGAAGGAUCUAGCAAAUCAACCAGACCUCCGUAAGGAACUGGUCAUCACUCUUGGAUUGGCAGGGGGGCAACAGUAAAA
This is a long non-coding RNA of Fundulus heteroclitus (mummichog), 417 nucleotides long. RefSeq lists it as uncharacterized. The transcript is spliced from 3 exons. The record is from RefSeq and is a predicted model, not a curated record. NCBI's taxonomy places the organism in Eukaryota, Metazoa, Chordata, Actinopteri, Cyprinodontiformes, Fundulidae.